This 388-nucleotide ribosomal RNA is filed under the name Ixodes loricatus. RNAcentral describes it as "partial 16S ribosomal RNA". Lineage: Eukaryota; Metazoa; Arthropoda; Arachnida; Ixodida; Ixodidae. The record is from RNAcentral.
UUUUUAAAUUGCUGUGGUAUUUUGACUAUACGAAGGUAUUGAAAUAAGGUUUUAAAUGAGCGCUAAGAGAAUGGUUUAACGAUUAUAAGCUUUCUUUAUUUAAAAAAUUGAAUUUAAUUUUUUUGUGCAGAAGCAAACAUUUAUUUUAGGGACAAGAAGACCCUAUGAAUUUUGAAUUUAAUUUAUUUAUUUUUAAUAUAAAUUGGAUUUGAUUGGGGCGAUAGAAAAAGAAUAAGUAUCUUUAUUUUAAGUAAAAAAAGUUCCGUUAUUAACGAUUAAAUGAGAAAAAUACUCUAGGGAUAACAGCGUAAUAAUUUUGGAAAGUUCUUAUUGAUAAAAUAGUUUGCGACCUCGAUGUUGGAUUAGGAUUCUUUUUUGGUGAAGAAGU